Molecule: ribosomal RNA, 466 nt
Filed under: uncultured bacterium
Lineage: Bacteria
Description: partial 16S ribosomal RNA
Rfam family: Bacterial small subunit ribosomal RNA
Source: RNAcentral
GAUGAACGCUGGCGGCGUGCUUAACACAUGCAAGUCGAACGGUGAAAGAGAGCUUGCUCUCUGGAUCAGUGGCGAACGGGUGAGUAACACGUGAGCAAUCUGCCCCUGACUCUGGGAUAAGCGCUGGAAACGGCGUCUAAUACCGGAUACGAGCUGCGAAGGCAUCUUCAGCAGCUGGAAAGAACUUCGGUCAGGGAUGAGCUCGCGGCCUAUCAGCUAGUUGGUGAGGUAACGGCUCACCAAGGCGUCGACGGGUAGCCGGCCUGAGAGGGUGACCGGCCACACUGGGACUGAGACACGGCCCAGACUCCUACGGGAGGCAGCAGUGGGGAAUAUUGCACAAUGGGCGAAAGCCUGAUGCGGCAACGCCGCGUGAGGGACGACGGCCUUCGGGUUGUAAACCUCUUUUAGCAGGGAAGAAGCGAAAGUGACGGUACCUGCAGAAAAAGCGCCGGCUAACUACGUG